Drosophila santomea is the source of this 669-nucleotide long non-coding RNA. RefSeq lists it as uncharacterized. NCBI's taxonomy places the organism in Eukaryota, Metazoa, Arthropoda, Insecta, Diptera, Drosophilidae. The transcript is spliced from 3 exons. The record is from RefSeq and is a predicted model, not a curated record.
UGCAGUGAUUUUAAGUGGCAGCAGACGAUACCAAUAAUGUGAUUUCGACCUACUGGAGGAAGUGGCUGAGCUAGCUAUUUUCCAGGAGCUACAACCAGCUGUCAGCUCUGACGUGGAAGAGAGGAGAGCGUGAGGAAAGGGCCAAGCAAAAACAACAGCAACAGCCACGAUGACGGGGAGGACGACAAACCGCCGUAUCCGGGAACUCACUCGACUCAACUCAACCAGCAAGGACUCGGCAUCAGUCAGAGCCCGGUUGCAUUUCACAAAAGAAAAUGAGUUGGAAAAAAAAGUAAUUAAAAAAACAGCAGCAGCAGUGGCAGUGCAAAAAAUCCGUAAGAUACGGAAAUUUCACUCCGGUUAAGACGAAAUCAAGAUGAGCUACCAAAUAAUAAUAGCGAAUUUGACUGCUCUUCGAAAGCUGCUGCUAAAGUUGCGAAGUUAUCCUGUCGGAUUCCUGGAUUUCAGAGGAUGUCAGAGGACUUGAGGCUGAGAAUAAUUAAAAUGCAUUAACACAACGCAACAAUGUGGGCAAAUGUUAACAUUGAGCGCUAAUUUUCCACAUGCUGCUGCAACUGGAAAAUGUGCAGGCUUUUCCGGAGCAGGGAAAACGGCUGGGGGAAAUGCGAGUGGCAAGUGAGAGACAGAUGACAAUGGAAAUUGCAUCAG